This 583-nucleotide ribosomal RNA is filed under the name Allobaccha sp. MZH S150_2004. RNAcentral's name for it is "eukaryotic LSU rRNA". Lineage: Eukaryota; Metazoa; Arthropoda; Insecta; Diptera; Syrphidae. RNAcentral also lists the same sequence under 1 other name. The record is from RNAcentral.
AGUACGUGAAACUGCUUAGAGGUUAAACCUGAUGAACCUGAAUAUCCAUUAUGGAAAAUUCAUCACCAAUAAUAAAUAUUAUUUAUAAUAUCUUAUAAAUGGUGCGCAAUUUUUCCAUAUAAGGACAUUGUAAUCUGUUAAUAUAAUAAAAAUUUAUCAAAAGAUCCUUUACUUAAGUUUAUUCAAAUUGAUUUUUUUCGGAAUUUCAACAUAGAUUAAAUGUAUUGGAUUUGAUAAAGUAUUGACAGAUAAAAUUAUAUAAAGUGCUCAGAUUUUUCGGAAUCUAACAAUGAUAAGUAGAUCUAUUGAUUUAUUUAUUUAAUUGUUUGCGCUUUUAUGAUUAACAAUGCGAUAGAUUCAGGAUACCUUCAGGACCCGUCUUGAAACACGGACCAAGGAGUCUAACAUAUGUGCAAGUCAUUGGGUAUUUUUAAUAAAACCCAAUGGCAUAAUUAACUUAACUGUUAUAAUGGGAUUAAUUUAUUAUUUUUAUAAAUUAUAAAUACAAUCCCGGGGCGUUCUAUACAGUUAUGUAUAAUAGUAUUUAUAUUAUUUAUACCUCUAACUAGAGCGUACCUUGAGC